CUACAUAAUGGGUAGUAUGGCACCACUAAGUCAAGAGAUGGUAAGACACCACCACCUCCUCAUAGUCAAGAAAAGGAGAGAUGAUGAACCACCACCAAGUCUAAGGCAUCAUAACUCCAGACCUCUUUCAUAUUCAACCAGAUAAAACCUAAUUAUGGAAUAGGUAUUUGAUAGGACUUUUUUACCAAUUACGGUAAUUAAUUCGUAAAAUUGCAUCUAUUUAGUAAAAUAUCAUAUUUUAUAAAAGACUGAAUGAAAAAUUAGAAGUUAAAACUACCAUCAAUAUCAACAUAAAAAUAGCCAUAUCA
This 308-nucleotide long non-coding RNA is filed under the name Phaseolus vulgaris (common bean). RNAcentral describes it as "long non-coding RNA (PVUL_LNC002630)". The record is from RNAcentral. Lineage: Eukaryota; Viridiplantae; Streptophyta; Magnoliopsida; Fabales; Fabaceae.